GUAGAUUCAAAGUACGACAACCUCCUCCAUCGACUGGUAUCAAAGUUUUGUUUAAUCAUGGUCCUUGAAUUUUGACUACCAUUUACGGUGUUCAAAGCGUGUAUUGUUCAUGGUCAGCGAGGGAAUAAAGAAAAGAAUAAAGCUAUUUAAUUGUGAA
Molecule: long non-coding RNA, 157 nt
Organism: Xenia sp. Carnegie-2017
Lineage: Eukaryota; Metazoa; Cnidaria; Anthozoa; Malacalcyonacea; Xeniidae
Exons: 2
Source: RefSeq, a predicted model, not a curated record